UACGGAGGUUGCAAGCGUUAUCCGGAUUUAUUGGGUUUAAAGGGUGCGUAGGCGGAAUAAUAAGUCAGUGGUGAAAGCCUGCAGCUUAACUGUAGAAUUGCCAUUGAUACUGUUGUUCUUGAGUACAACUGAGGUGGGCGGAAUGUGUAAUGUAGCGGUGAAAUGCUUAGAUAUUACACAGAACACCGAUUGCGUAGGCAGCUCACUAAAUUGUCACUGACGCUGAGGCACGAAAGCGUGGGGAG
Molecule: ribosomal RNA, 245 nt
Filed under: uncultured bacterium
Lineage: Bacteria
Description: partial 16S ribosomal RNA
Rfam family: Bacterial small subunit ribosomal RNA
Source: RNAcentral